AGUGAACGCUGGCGGUAGGCCUAACACAUGCAAGUCGAACGGCAGCACAGUAAGAGCUUGCUCCUACGGGUGGCGAGUGGCGGACGGGUGAGGAAUACAUCGGAAUCUACUUUUUCGUGGGGGAUAACGUAGGGAAACUUACGCUAAUACCGCAUACGAUCUACGGGUGAAAGCAGGGGAUCUUCGGACCUUUCGCGAUUGAAUGAGCCGAUGUCGGAUUAGCUAGUUGGCGGGGUAAAGGCCCACCAAGGCGACGAUCCGUAGCUGGUCUGAGAGGAUGAUCGGCCACACUGGAACUGAGACACGGUCCAGACUCCUACGGGAGGCAGCAGUGGGGAAUAUUGGGCAAUGGGCGCAAGCCUGAUCCAGCCAUACCGCGUGAGUGAUGAAGGCCUUCGGAUUGUAAAGCCCUGUUGUUAGGGAAGAAAAGCAGCGGAUUAAUACCCCGCUGUUCUGACGGUACCCAAAGAAUAAGCACCGGCUAACUUCGUG
RNAcentral lists this ribosomal RNA (492 nucleotides) under uncultured bacterium. RNAcentral's name for it is "partial 16S ribosomal RNA". It matches the Rfam family "Bacterial small subunit ribosomal RNA", at positions 29 to 507 of the family's 1533-position model. The record is from RNAcentral.